This 468-nucleotide ribosomal RNA is filed under the name uncultured bacterium. Its description in RNAcentral is "partial 16S ribosomal RNA". It matches the Rfam family "Bacterial small subunit ribosomal RNA", at positions 28 to 507 of the family's 1533-position model. The record is from RNAcentral.
GACGAACGCUGGCGGCGUGCUUAACACAUGCAAGUCGAACGGAAAGGCCCUGCUUUUGUGUGGUUCUCGAUUGGCGAACGCGUGAGUAACACGUGAGUAACCUGCCCUUGUCUUUGUGAUAACUUCAGGAAACUGGGGCGAAUACCGGAUAGGAGCUCCUGAUGCAUGGUGUGGGUUGGAAAGAUACGGCGGUAGUGGAUGGACUCGCGGCUUAUCGGCUUGUUGGUGAGGUAGUCGCGUACCAGGGCUUUGACGGGUAGCCGGCCUGAGAGGGGGACCGGGCACCUGGCGACUGAGGUACGCAGCAGUCGGCUACCUGACGCAACAGUGGGGAGUCUUGCACAGCGAGCGGACGCCUGAUACGGCAGCGCCGGGUGCGGGAUGCCGGCCUUCGGGUUGUGAACAGCUUUCGACUGUGACGUGGAGUGAGUGACGGUAAUGAGUAAAGAAGCCCCGGCUAACUACGUG